AUGCCUAUGAAUUAUUCACUUGCUAUUGAACCAUUUGAUGUUUGGGGAUUAAAUUACAUGGGACCUUUUCCUUCCUCCAAUGGGUAUACACAUAUUUUGGUUGCUGUUGAUUAUGUUACUAAAUGGGUGGAAGCUAUUCCAACCAGUAGUGUUGAUCACAACCCCUCUAUUAAAAUGCUUAAGGAAGUUAUUUUCCCAAGGUUUGGAGUCCCUAGAUAUUUAAUGACUGAUGGUGGUUCACAUUUUAUUCAUGGUGCUUUCCGUAAAGUGCUUGCCAAGUAUGAUGUUAACCAUAGAAUUGCUUAUCAUCCUCAGUCUAGUGGUCAAGUUGAACUUAGCAAUAGAGAAAUAAAAUUAAUCUUGCAAAAGACUGUCAAUAGGUCCAGGAAGAAUUGGUCUAAGAAAUUAGAUGAUGCACUUUGGGAUUAUAGAACAACAUAUAAAAAUCCCAUGGGUAUGUCUCCUUAUAAAAUGGUUUAUGGAAAAGCUUGUCAUUUGCCUCUUGAGUUAGAACAUAAAGCAUAUUGGGCAAUCAAAGAACUCAACUAUGAUUUCAAGCUUGCUGGUGAAAAGAGGUUAUUUGAUAUUAGUGUUGGGGAACAUAGUAAUUUUAAAAAAAUUCCUACGCACAUGCAUGAUCAUGGUGAUGCAUAG
RNAcentral lists this ribosomal RNA (654 nucleotides) under Triticum aestivum (bread wheat). RNAcentral describes it as "partial small subunit ribosomal RNA". Lineage: Eukaryota; Viridiplantae; Streptophyta; Magnoliopsida; Poales; Poaceae. The record is from RNAcentral.